CGCGUAGACGGUUUUGUAAGUCAGAUGUGAAAUCCCUGGGCUCAACCUGGGAACUGCAUUUGAAACUGCAUGGCUAGAGUAUGGUAGAGGGAAGUGGAAUUUCCGGUGUAGCGAUGAAAUGCGUAGAUAUCGGAAGGAACACCAGUGGCGAAAGCGACUUCCUGGACCAAUACUGACGUUCAUGUGCGAAAGCGUGGGGAGCAAACAGGAUUAGAUACCCUGGUAGUCCACGCCAUAAACGAUGACAACUAGAUGUUGGGAGGGUCUGCCUCUCGGUAUCGCAGCUAACGCGUUAAGUUGUCCGCCUGGGGAGUACGGCCGCAAGGUUGAA
RNAcentral lists this ribosomal RNA (331 nucleotides) under uncultured bacterium. RNAcentral describes it as "bacterial SSU rRNA". It matches the Rfam family "Bacterial small subunit ribosomal RNA", at positions 568 to 898 of the family's 1533-position model. The record is from RNAcentral.